Molecule: ribosomal RNA, 303 nt
Filed under: uncultured bacterium
Lineage: Bacteria
Description: bacterial SSU rRNA
Rfam family: Bacterial small subunit ribosomal RNA
Source: RNAcentral
GAUGAACGCUGGCGGCGCGCCUAACACAUGCAAGUCGAACGGCACCCACCUCCGGGUGGAAGCGAGUGGCGAACGGCUGAGUAACACGUAUGCAACCUGCCCCCUUCUGGGAGAUAACCCAUAGAAAUGUGGCCUAAUAUCCCAUAGUCGGUCCAGCCGCAUGGCCGGGCCGGGAAAGGCGAGCCGGAAGGGGAUGGGCAUGCGGCGCAUUAGCUAGUUGGCGGGGCAGAGGCCCACCAAGGCGACGAUGCGUAGGGGUUCUGAGAGGAAGGUCCCCCACAUUGGUACUGAGACACGGACCAA